Triticum aestivum (bread wheat) is the source of this 814-nucleotide long non-coding RNA. RefSeq lists it as uncharacterized. Lineage: Eukaryota; Viridiplantae; Streptophyta; Magnoliopsida; Poales; Poaceae. The record is from RefSeq and is a predicted model, not a curated record. The transcript is spliced from 2 exons.
CUCACUCACUCGCCCAGCCGCACUCAGUCGCUCGUGCUCUCUCGCGCUUCUUGCCGCUCGCAGGCCUUCCCCUUCUCGCCUGCCUCCCCUCUCCCCGUCGCUCGCCGGCCUCACCCUCCCCUCUCCCCAUCGCCGGCCUCACCCUCCCCUCUCCCCAUCGCCGGCCUCACUCUCCCUCUCCCUCUCCCUCUCCCUUUCCACCACCCUGCCUCCACUCACACCACGGAGGUAAAAAAAUCAAUCUUUUGAGCCGGCGACGAGCUUCUACUCUGGAAUAUGCAAUGGAGGCAUGGAUGUGGAGCACCAGCGCUGGAUCUGGGCGGCGGAGGCAUGGAUGUGGAGCGGCACCCGAGCGGCGGAUCUGGAGCAAUGCCGGAGCAGUGGAGCGGCGGAUCUGGAGCAGAGUCUUCGUCCUCACGGUGCCCACGUCGUCGUCUUCGCCGGAGUAGCUGCUUCCUCCCCUGCCCAACGAUGGUCGACGGGUGCAUGUCAUAGAGAGAGACCUGACAGAGCCUGAUAGAAUUGUGGGUGAAUUGUUACAACCUGGAGGCUACCUGAAAUUGAUGGAAUUGGGUCUGCAGGGUAAGCUUUGCUCUCUCCUGCUCAAAAUGGGUUUCCUAACAGAACCAUAGGCAAAUUCUGUAAUUUUGCACAUGAAGCUUCUGUAAUUUUGCCCAUGAAGCUUCAGAUUUUAGCACAUGAAGCUUCUGCUACUGUUAAUCUUGUCAUGAAUCUUCUGUUGACUUGGUACAUUAGCUUAAAAUGAUUCUUUUCCUUUAAGUAAAACUAAAUAAAACUUUUUCUGUUAAUUUAA